This is an RNA transcript of Tarenaya hassleriana, 2488 nucleotides long. It is a transcript of the gene named SNW/SKI-interacting protein-like, with no coding region annotated. The transcript is spliced from 5 exons. NCBI's taxonomy places the organism in Eukaryota, Viridiplantae, Streptophyta, Magnoliopsida, Brassicales, Cleomaceae. The record is from RefSeq and is a predicted model, not a curated record.
UCUCUUGCUCUGAGUCUCUCGUGCCUCUCUCAGUCUCUCUCCACUCCAAACUCUUUUUCUAUUACUCUGCCAAAUUCAUCGUGGGUCUGCCGAUUUCCAGGUCGAUUUGCAUCGCCGUCGACUUCUUCCUCUCCUUUCCAGGAUUCUUUUUCCUCUGUCGGUUCUAACUCGGAUGCUCCUCUCUCGGUCUUAGACUGUCACCGUUGCCUAGAUCGAAUAUCUCGGUACUGGUGUAGGUAUUUGAUAAAUUUCUGAAAGUCAAUGGCGUCUCUUAAAGACCUUCUACCUCCGGCUAAAUCGACUACUUCCACUUUUUAUGAUCAUUCAAAUGACCCAUGGUUCAAGAAUCGUUUCACCGAAUCCGAAUCUGAGAAAUCUGCUGUUGUCACAGCAAAGCCCGUUCCCCCUUAUUUGAAGCGACAGGGUUUUCUUCCGAGAAAACCCGAGGACUUUGGAGAUGGUGGUGCAUUCCCUGAGAUUCAUGUUGCUCAAUACCCUCUUGGCAUGGGUAGGGAUAGAUCCAAUAAAGCUGGUUCCAAGACUUUACCUGUCACUGUGGAUGCCCAAGGCAAUGUUGUCUAUGAUGCUAUUGUCAAGCAGAAUGAGAAUUCGAAAAAGAUUGUUUACUCUCAACAUAAGGAUAUUAUUCCCAAGAUCUUGAAAAAUGAGGGAGAUGUGGAUGAAGAUGAGGAUGAAGAAUUGCAGAAGGAGAUAGAGGAAACCAUGGAGGAAACAAAAGCUGCACUCGAGAAGAUUGUGAACGUGAGGUUGAGUGCAGCACAGCCUAACAAUGUACCGAAGCAGUCUGGUGACUCAAAGUACAUCAAGUAUAAACCGUCUCAGCAAUCUGCUGCCUUUAAUUCCGGUGCUAAGGAGAGGAUCAUUAGAAUGGUGGAGAUGCCCGUGGAUCCGAUGGAACCUCCUAAGUUCAAGCACAAGCGAGUUCCAAAGGCUUCUGGGUCCCCUCCAGUCCCGGUCAUGCAUUCUCCACCUCGGCCUGUCACUGUUAAGGACCAACAAGACUGGAAAAUCCCCCCUUGCAUCUCCAACUGGAAAAAUCCGAAAGGUUAUACCAUCCCCCUGGACAAACGUCUUGCCGCUGAUGGAAGAGGCUUACAAGAUGUGCAGAUCAAUGAUAACUUUGCAAAGCUAUCAGAGGCACUGUAUGUAGCAGAGCAGAAAGCUAGGGAAGCUGUUACGAUGAGAUCAAAGGUUCAAAAGGAGAUGAUGAUGAAGGAGAAGGAAAGGAAAGAGCAGGAGUUGCGGGUUCUUGCCCAAAAGGCUCGUUCUGAGAGGACCGGGGCUGCUGCUCCACCCGCUGCUUCCAUGCCAGUGUCAUCUGAAAGGGGGAGGAGUGAGAGUGUCGACCCACGAGAGGAUUAUGACUAUGAUUACGAUGAACGGAAACGUGACAGUGGCCGUGGCGACUUCCCCAAGGAGAAUAGAGAGGAAAGGGAAGAGCGUCUACAGAGGGAGAAGAUCCGUGAAGAACGCCGGAGGGAGAGAGAGAGGGAGAGAAGGUUGGAAGCAAAGGAUGCAGCUAUGGGUAAGAAGAGCAAGAUCACAAGGGACAGAGACCGUGAUAUCAGCGAGAAAGUCGCUCUCGGAAUGGCCUCCACCGGAACAAGGGGCGGUGAAGUUAUGUAUGACCAACGCCUGUUUAACCAAGACAAAGGAAUGGACUCUGGUUUCGCCACUGAUGACCAGUACAACGUAUACGACAAGGGCUUGUUCACAGCACAGCCAACUCUUUCGACCCUUUACAAGCCAAAGAAAGAUAUGGACGAAGAGAUGUACGGGAACGCCGACGAACAGCUAGAGAAGCUCAUGAAGACGGACAGGUUCAAACCGGACAAAGGAUUCACCGGAACAUCAGAGAAAUUGGGCAAGAGAGAGAGACCGGUGGAGUUUGAGAAGGAAGCAGAGGAAGCAGAUCCGUUUGGUCUGGACCAGUUCUUGACAGAAGUGAAGAAAGGAAAGAGAGCGAUGGAGAAAGUCGGGUCUGGAGGAACGAUGAGGGCUAGUGGGGGGUCCUCGAGGGAUGACUAUGGUGGUGGGUCGGGUCGGAGCAGGAUCGGGUUCGAGCGUGGCAGCGGCCGUUAAAUCUUUGCAUAGAUAUUGCAAAUGCUAUCUGGAAGUCUCGUCUCUCUGCCUCCUUCCUGGGUCUGCGCCCAUCGUCUGGAUCCCGCGUCUUCACUCUCUCUCGACAGACAGUUUGUGUUCCGUCGAAGAAGAAGCGACCGCCUCUGGAUCCUCUCUCUCGCUUGUGUUCCUGCGUCUUCAGCCGCCGUGGUGUUUUUCUGCGAUUCCCGAAUCCUCUCUCUUUCGCCCGUGUUCUCUGUGUGUUUCCUGUUGCUUACUCUCCGCCCAUCUCAACUUCGAACCUUUCCUCGCGAUUUCUUAGCCUUUCUCCGUCGCUUCGUCGGCCUUUGUAGAUUCCCGCCGCCUUCAAGCUCAGAGUCUUGUCCGAUUGUUGCGAAAACGCAUU